This 62-nucleotide transfer RNA is filed under the name Pyramimonas parkeae. The record is from RNAcentral. Lineage: Eukaryota; Viridiplantae; Chlorophyta; Pyramimonadophyceae; Pyramimonadales; Pyramimonadaceae.
GGAUGGCUCAGUUGGUAGAGCGACGGACUCACUCUUCACGGGUCCUGAGUUCGAAUCCCUGC